Molecule: ribosomal RNA, 523 nt
Filed under: Pseudomonas sp. NZHA6
Lineage: Bacteria; Pseudomonadati; Pseudomonadota; Gammaproteobacteria; Pseudomonadales; Pseudomonadaceae
Description: bacterial SSU rRNA
Rfam family: Bacterial small subunit ribosomal RNA
Source: RNAcentral
AGAGUUUGAUCCUGGCUCAGAUUGAACGCUGKCGGCAGGCCUAACACAUGCAAGUCGAGCGGUAGAGAGAAGCUUGCUUCUCUUGAGAGCGGCGGACGGGUGAGUAAUGCCUAGGAAUCUGCCUGGUAGUGGGGGAUAACGUCCGGAAACGGACGCUAAUACCGCAUACGUCCUACGGGAGAAAGCAGGGGACCUUCGGGCCUUGCGCUAUCAGAUGAGCCUAGGUCGGAUUAGCUAGUUGGUGGGGUAAUGGCUCACCAAGGCGACGAUCCGUAACUGGUCUGAGAGGAUGAUCAGUCACACUGGAACUGAGACACGGUCCAGACUCCUACGGGAGGCAGCAGUGGGGAAUAUUGGACAAUGGGCGAAAGCCUGAUCCAGCCAUGCCGCGUGUGUGAAGAAGGUCUUCGGAUUGUAAAGCACUUUAAGUUGGGAGGAAGGGUUGUAGAUUAAUACUCUGCAAUUUUGACGUUACCGACAGAAUAAGCACCGGCUAACUCUGUGCCAGCAGCCGCGGUAAUAC